AUUGAACGCUGGCGGCAUGCCUUACACAUGCAAGUCGAACGGCAGCACGGGGCAACCUGGUGGCGAGUGGCGAACGGGUGAGUAAUGCAUCGGAACGUGCCAUUGAGUGGGGGAUAACGUAGCGGAAGUUGCGCUAAUACCGCAUAUUCUGUGAGCAGGAAAGCAGGGGGACCGCAAGGCCUUGCGCUCUUUGAGCGGCCGAUGUCAGAUUAGCUAGUUGGUGAGGUAACGGCUUACCAAGGCGACGAUCUGUAGCGGGUCUGAGAGGAUGAUCCGCCACACUGGAACUGAGACACGGUCCAGACUCCUACGGAGGCAGCAGUGGGGAAUUUUGGACAAUGGGCGCAAGCCUGAUCCAGCCAUGCCGCGUGAGUGAAGAAGGCCUCGG
This 388-nucleotide ribosomal RNA is filed under the name uncultured bacterium. RNAcentral's name for it is "bacterial SSU rRNA". It matches the Rfam family "Bacterial small subunit ribosomal RNA", at positions 30 to 420 of the family's 1533-position model. The record is from RNAcentral.